RNAcentral lists this long non-coding RNA (500 nucleotides) under Sus scrofa (pig). Its description in RNAcentral is "lncRNA (ENSSSCG00040065693.1)". The record is from RNAcentral. Lineage: Eukaryota; Metazoa; Chordata; Mammalia; Artiodactyla; Suidae.
CUGGGAGCCCCGCCAGCAGGCUCUUGCUUCCGGGAUUUUGCAUUCAUCUUAUCUGCGUUGAAAAAACAGCUUCCCCACCUGGCACACUUCCUCCCUUCUAAAGCCCCCCCCCCCCCAAGAUCUCGCCUCAGGCCGCCCCUACCAAAAACUUUAUACCUCCCCCCCCCACCCUUAGUCCUGUCUGAUUUUCCUCUUCAGCCUGCUGACAUCUUUCAUAUCUGUUUCUUUCUCGGACUUGCUGGGCCAGAAUGGGAAUUGCGGGCGAGCGGGGACUUUGUUGUGCUCGAGAUGGAGCCUCCAGCACCGAGGACAGUGGCGGAUGCACAGUCGGGGCAGUAAACCUCUGCGCAGAUUUUGAGUUGGAGUUGGGAGCGCCUCUCCUUCAAGACAGUCCCAUCAUCUACUUGGGCGCCAGUGGGACAGAGGUCAUUACCAAAAAUUCUGGGGAAGAAGAAAAAGUGGCAGGUACUAUAUUCAGGAAUAAGAAUGUUAAGAUAUGA